AAAAAAGGUAAGCUACUAAGAGCGAAUGGUGGAUGCCUUGACUGGUAAAGGCGAUGAAGGACGUACUAGACUGCGAUAAGCUACGGGGAGCUGUCAAGAAGCUUUGAUCCGUAGAUUUCCGAAUGGGGCAACCCAAUGUAUAGAGAUAUACAUUACCUAUAUAGGAGCGAACGAGGGGAAUUGAAACAUCUUAGUACCCUCAGGAAAAGAAAUCAAUAGAGAUUGCGUCAGUAGCGGCGAGCGAAAGCGCAAGAGGGCAAACCCAGUGCUUGCACUGGGGGUUGUAGGACUGCAAUGUGCAAGAGGUGAGUUUAGCAGAACAUUCUGGAAAGUAUAGCCAUAGAGGGUGAUAGUCCCGUAUGCGAAAAACAAACCUUAGCUAGCAGUAUCCUGAGUAGGGCGGGACACGAGAAAUCCUGUCUGAAGCUGGGUCGACCACGAUCCAACCCUAAAUACUAAUACCAGAUCGAUAGUGCACAAGUACCGUGAGGGAAAGGUGAAAAGAACUGAGGUGAUCAGAGUGAAAUAGAACCUGAAACCAUUUGCUUACAAUCAUUCAGAGCCCUAUGUAGCAAUACAGGGUGAUGGACUGCCUUUUGCAUAAUGAGCCUGCGAGUUGUGGUGUCUGGCAAGGUUAAGCAAACGCGAAGCCGUAGCGAAAGCGAGUCUGAAUAGGGCGCUUAGUCAGAUGCUGCAGACCCGAAACGAAGUGAUCUAUCCAUGAGCAAGUUGAAGCUAGUGUAAGAACUAGUGGAGGACUGAACCCAUAGGCGUUGAAAAGCCCCGGGAUGACUUGUGGAUAGGGGUGAAAGGCCAAUCAAACUUCGUGAUAGCUGGUUCUCUCCGAAAUAUAUUUAGGUAUAGCGUUGUGUCGUAAUAUAAGGGGGUAGAGCACUGAAUGGGCUAGGGCAUACACCAAUGUACCAAACCCUAUCAAACUCCGAAUACCUUAUAUGUAAUCACAGCAGUCAGGCGGCGAGUGAUAAAAUCCGUCGUCAAGAGGGAAACAACCCAGACUACCAGCUAAGGUCCCUAAAUCUUACUUAAGUGGAAAACGAUGUGAAGUUACUUAAACAACCAGGAGGUUGGCUUAGAAGCAGCCAUCCUUUAAAGAAAGCGUAAUAGCUCACUGGUCUAGUGAUUUUGCGCGGAAAAUAUAACGGGGCUAAAGUAAGUACCGAAGCUGUAGACUUGCGCACAACUUAGAUUAUUUAAGUUUAGAAUAUGAGAAACUAAGUUAUAUGUUUAGUUAUAUUUUUACUGAUUUUUAUAGAGUAAAGAUAGAAAUAAAACUUAGUAAAAUCAGUAAAAAUAUUCUUAGACUAAAGUUAAGUAGUUUAAGUUGUGUGCAAGUGGUAGGAGAGCGUUCUAUUUGCGUCGAAGGUAUACCGGUAAGGAGUGCUGGAGCGAAUAGAAGUGAGCAUGCAGGCAUGAGUAGCGAUAAUUAAUGUGAGAAUCAUUAACGCCGUAAACCCAAGGUUUCCUACGCGAUGCUCGUCAUCGUAGGGUUAGUCGGGUCCUAAGUCGAGUCCGAAAGGGGUAGACGAUGGCAAAUUGGUUAAUAUUCCAAUACCAACAUUAGUGUGCGAUGGAAGGACGCUUAGGGCUAAGGGGGCUAGCGGAUGGAAGUGCUAGUCUAAGGUCGUAGGAGGUUAUACAGGCAAAUCCGUAUAACAAUACUCCGAGAACUGAAAGGCUUUUUGAAGUCUUCGGAUGGAUAGAAGAACCCCUGAUGCCAUCGAGCCAAGAAAAGUUUCUAAGUUUAGCUAAUGUUGCCCGUACCGUAAACCGACACAGGUGGGUGGGAUGAGUAUUCUAAGGCGCGUGGAAGAACUCUCUUUAAGGAACUCUGCAAAAUAGCACCGUAUCUUCGGUAUAAGGUGUGGUUCGCUUCGUAUUAGGAUUUACUCCGAAAGCGAAGAAACUUACAACAAAGAGUCCCUCCCGACUGUUUACCAAAAACACAGCACUCUGCUAACUCGUAAGAGGAUGUAUAGGGUGUGACGCCUGCCCGGUGCUCGAAGGUUAAUUGAUGGGGUUAGCAUUAGCGAAGCUCUUGAUCGAAGCCCGAGUAAACGGCGGCCGUAACUAUAACGGUCCUAAGGUAGCGAAAUUCCUUGUCGGUUAAAUACCGACCUGCAUGAAUGGCGUAACGAGAUGGGAGCUGUCUCAAAGAGGGAUCCAGUGAAAUUGUAGUGGAGGUGAAAAUUCCUCCUACCCGCGGCAAGACGGAAAGACCCCGUGGACCUUUACUACAGCUUGACACUGCUAUUUGGAUAAGAAUGUGCAGGAUAGGUGGGAGGCUUUGAGUAUAUGACGCCAGUUGUAUAUGAGCCAUUGUUGAGAUACCACUCUUUCUUAUUUGGGUAGCUAACCAGCUUGAGUUAUCCUCAAGUGGGACAAUGUCUGGUGGGUAGUUUGACUGGGGCGGUCGCCUCCCAAAUAAUAACGGAGGCUUACAAAGGUUGGCUCAGAACGGUUGGAAAUCGUUCGUAGAGUAUAAAGGUAUAAGCCAGCUUAACUGCAAGACAUACAAGUCAAGCAGAGACGAAAGUCGGU
Molecule: ribosomal RNA, 2559 nt
Filed under: Campylobacter coli
Lineage: Bacteria; Pseudomonadati; Campylobacterota; Epsilonproteobacteria; Campylobacterales; Campylobacteraceae
Description: partial 23S ribosomal RNA
Rfam family: Bacterial large subunit ribosomal RNA
Source: RNAcentral